UAUUAAAGUUGUUGCAGUUAAAAAGCUCGUAGUUGGAUUUCUGGCGGGAGCGACCGGUCGGCGCUUAACGGCGUGUGCACUGGAGUUGUCUCUUGCCAUCCUUGAGGAGAACGUGUCUGGCAUUAAGUUGUCGGGCUUGGGAUCCUCAUCGUUUACUGUGAAAAAAUUAGAGUGUUUAAAGCAGGCAUUUGCUGUGAAUACAUUAGCAUGGAAUAAUAAGAUAGGACUUUGGUGCUAUUUUGUUGGUUUGCGUACCAAGGUAACGAUUAAUAGGGAUAGUUGGGGGUAUUCGUAUUCAAUUGUCAGAGGUGAAAUUCUUGGAUUUAUGGAAGACGAACAACUGCGAAAGCAUUUACCAAGGAUGUUUUCAUUAAUCAAGAACGAAAGUUAGGGGAUCGAAGAUGAUUAGAUACCAUCGUAGUCUUAACCAUAAACUAUGCCGACUAGGGAUUGGGCGUCGAUAAUUUAAUGUCAUGCUCAGCACCUUAUGAGAAAUCAAAGUCUUUGGGUUCCGGGGGGAGUAUGGUCGCAAGGCUGAAACUUAAAG
RNAcentral lists this ribosomal RNA (547 nucleotides) under uncultured stramenopile. RNAcentral's name for it is "SSU rRNA". It matches the Rfam family "Eukaryotic small subunit ribosomal RNA", at positions 602 to 1149 of the family's 1831-position model. The record is from RNAcentral.